RNAcentral lists this ribosomal RNA (1481 nucleotides) under uncultured bacterium. RNAcentral's name for it is "partial 16S ribosomal RNA". It matches the Rfam family "Bacterial small subunit ribosomal RNA". The record is from RNAcentral.
AGAGUUUGAUCAUGGCUCAGAUUGAACGCUGGCGGCAGGCCUAACACAUGCAAGUCGAGCGGUAACACAGAGGAGCUUGCUCCUUGGGUGACGAGCGGCGGACGGGUGAGUAAUGCCUGGGGAUCUGCCCGAUAGAGGGGGAUAACUACGGGAAACUGUGGCUAAUACCGCACAAUGUCUACGGACCAAAGUGGGGGCUCUUCGGACCUCAUGCUAUCGGAUGAACCCAGGUGGGAUUAGCUAGUUGGUGAGGUAACGGCUUACCAAGGCGACGAUCAGUAGCCGACCUGAGAGGGUGAUCGGCCACAUUGGAACUGAGACACGGUCCAAACUCCUACGGGAGGCAGCAGUGGGGAAUAUUGCACAAUGGGCGAAAGCCUGAUGCAGCAACGCCGCGUGAGCGAUGAAGGCCUUCGGGUCGUAAAGCUCUGUCCUCAAGGAAGAUAAUGACGGUACUUGAGGAGGAAGCCCCGGCUAACUACGUGCCAGCAGCCGCGGUAAUACGUAGGGGGCUAGCGUUAUCCGGAAUUACUGGGCGUAAAGCGCACGUAGGCGGCUUUGUAAGUCAGAGGUGAAAGCCUGGAGCUCAACUCCAGAACUGCCUUUGAGACUGCAUCGCUUGAAUCCAGGAGAGGUGAGUGGAAUUCCGAGUGUAGAGGUGAAAUUCGUAGAUAUUCGGAAGAACACCAGUGGCGAAGGCGGCUCACUGGACUGGUAUUGACGCUGAGGUGCGAAAGCGUGGGGGAGCAAACAGGAUUAGAUACCCUGGUAGUCCACGCCGUAAACGAUGAUAACUAGCUGUCCGGGCACUUGGUGCUUGGGUGGCGCAGCUAACGCAUUAAGUUAUCCGCCUGGGGAGUACGGUCGCAAGAUUAAAACUCAAAGGAAUUGACGGGGGCCUGCACAAGCGGUGGAGCAUGUGGUUUAAUUCGAAGCAACGCGCAGAACCUUACCAGCGUUUGACAUGUCCGGACGAUUUCCAGAGAUGGAUCUCUUCCCUUCGGGGACUGGAACACAGGUGCUGCAUGGCUGUCGUCAGCUCGUGUCGUGAGAUGUUGGGUUAAGUCCCGCAACGAGCGCAACCCUCGCCUUUAGUUACCAUCAUUUAGUUGGGUACUCUAAAGGAACCGCCGGUGAUAAGCCGGAGGAAGGUGGGGAUGACGUCAAGUCCUCAUGGCCCUUACGCGCUGGGCUACACACGUGCUACAAUGGCGGUGACAGUGGGCAGCAAUCCCGCGAGGGUGAGCUAAUCUCCAAAAGCCGUCUCAGUUCGGAUUGUUCUCUGCAACUCGAGAGCAUGAAGGCGGAAUCGCUAGUAAUCGCGGAUCAGCAUGCCGCGGUGAAUACGUUCCCAGGCCUUGUACACACCGCCCGUCACACCAUGGGAGUUGGGUUCACCCGAAGGCGUUGCGCUAACUCGCAAGAGAGGCAGGCGACCACGGUGGGCUUAGCGACUGGGGUGAAGUCGUAACAAGGUAAAC